CCUACGGGUGGCUGCAGUGAGGAAUAUUGGUCAAUGGGCGCGAGCCUGAAGCAGCCAAGUAGCGUGAAGGAUGACUGCCCUACGGGUUGUAAACUUCUUUUAUAAAGGAAUAAAGUGAGGCACGUGUGCCUUUUUGUAUGUACUUUAUGAAUAAGGAUCGGCUAACUCCGUGCCAGCAGCCGCGGUAAUACGGAGGAUCCGAGCGUUAUCCGGAUUUAUUGGGUUUAAAGCGAGCGUAGGUGGGUUGUUAAGUCAGUUGUGAAAGUUUGCGGCUCAACCGUAAAAUUGCAAUUGAUACUGGCAGCCUUGAGUACAGUAGAGGUAAGUGGAAUUCGAGGUGUAGCAGUGAAAUGCUUAGAUAUCACGAAGAACACCGAUUGCGAAGGCAGCCUACUAGACUGCCACUGACAUUGAUGCUCGAAAGUGUGGGUAUCAAACAGGAUUAGAUACCCGGGUAGUC
RNAcentral lists this ribosomal RNA (460 nucleotides) under uncultured bacterium. RNAcentral describes it as "partial 16S ribosomal RNA". It matches the Rfam family "Bacterial small subunit ribosomal RNA", at positions 338 to 795 of the family's 1533-position model. The record is from RNAcentral.